ACAGAGGUGCCAAGCGUUAGGCGGAAUCACUGGGCUUAAAGCGUGUGUAGGCGGAUCGUUAAGUACCUUGUGAAAUCCCCCGGCUCAACCGGGGAACUGCUGGGUAUACUGGCGAUCUUGGGCCACUCAGGGGCAGAUGGAACAGACGGUGGAGCGGUGAAAUGCGUAGAUAUCGUCUGGAACGCCAAAGGUGAAAACAGUCUGCUGGGGGUGUGCCGACGCUGAGACACGAAAGCCAGGGGAGCGAACGGGA
Molecule: ribosomal RNA, 253 nt
Filed under: uncultured prokaryote
Description: partial 16S ribosomal RNA
Rfam family: Bacterial small subunit ribosomal RNA
Source: RNAcentral